GAUAAACGCUGGCGGCGCACAUAAGACAUGCAAGUCGAACGGACUUUAACCAUUAGUUUACUAUUGGAGCGGUUAGUGGCGGACUGGUGAGUAACACGUAAGCAACCUGCCUCAUACAGGGGGAUAACAGUUAGAAAUGACUGCUAAUACCGCAUAAGCGCACAGUAUCGCAUGAUACAGUGUGAAAAACUCCGGUGGUAUGAGAUGGACCCGCGUCUGAUUAGCUAGUUGGUAAGGUAACGGCUUACCAAGGCGACGAUCAGUAGCCGGACUGAGAGGUUGAACGGCCACAUUGGGACUGAGAUACGGCCCAGACUCCUACGGGAGGCAGCAGUCGGGAAUAUUGCGCAAUGGAGGAAACUCUGACGCAGUGACGCCGCGUAUAGGAAGAAGUUUUUCGGAAUGUAAACUAUUGUCGUUAGGGAAGAGAAAGGACGGUACCUAAGGAGGAAGCCCCGGCUAACUAUGUG
RNAcentral lists this ribosomal RNA (470 nucleotides) under uncultured bacterium. RNAcentral's name for it is "bacterial SSU rRNA". It matches the Rfam family "Bacterial small subunit ribosomal RNA", at positions 28 to 507 of the family's 1533-position model. The record is from RNAcentral.